Molecule: long non-coding RNA, 1524 nt
Filed under: Felis catus (domestic cat)
Lineage: Eukaryota; Metazoa; Chordata; Mammalia; Carnivora; Felidae
Description: lncRNA (ENSFCAG00000051796.1)
Source: RNAcentral
AAGGUGGCAGCUUUGCCUCACCCCCCACAUGUGACUGAGAAGUCCCAACAGACCUGGCCCACAGUGGGUCCAUCAGUGACCCAAUGAGGAUCCCGGUAAGAGAACAUAUUUUAUAGUCUGUCUACACUGCUGAGCUGAUCCCUGCUGAGAGGAGACGAGGGGAUCACGAGGAAAGAUUACCCUUGGCCUAGAACAUCUUCCCCGGGACCCACGAAGCACAGAUGACUGGACUUUCCACCCCCAGCAGAGCACAAAUCCACUUCCCAGGAGCCUCUCCGCUUGAAGGGCAAGAGGCAUCUCCCCUAAGCCUCGGUUUCCCUCGUUGGGAGCUGUGUUUGCCAAGUAACACCACCGCCAUCUCCCCGGUGUGAGCUGCCGGGACCCCACCCUCUGCCGGCGCAGGCCUCCAGGCUUCACGCUUUCUGGGAUCGUCCCAGCAACCACUGGGGCCGCACAUCCGCAUCACAUCGCUUUACAGAUGGGAAAACUGAGGCUCAGAAAAGCAGCAGGACCCUCUCAGGUCCCUGGAGUCGCCAAGUGGGAGAGCCCGGACUUGAACUUGGGUCUGUUUCCUUCUGGUACAAUGGCAUGGACCAGCCGCCUGCAGCCUUUGCCCAGACUUGGUUUUGGUUUUGGUUUUGGAGACGGUGUCGUGGGGUCAAUGGGUUAAAUCCACGAGUGGAGAGCAACGCCUUAAGUCCACAAAUUCGAGGAGGGGGUGAGAGGAGACGAGCCCCUUUUCCCGGGGUCCCAAGCCAGGGCCUCCUGAUCCCGCCAAAGGAAGGCCAGAAUGUGGAGGGUGUGUGCGUGUGUCUGUCUGUGUGUCAGAGAGACAGAUAGACACCCUAACUGCAGAGAGAAAAGCUGGCACCGUCGUCCAACUGCAAGGAAAAUGGACAGGAGGCUUUUCCGAGAGGGGCGGAGAGAGCCAGGCCUGGGGCUGUGGGGAGCGGGUGAGGCCUCCUGCCCUCGCGGGGGUUAAAGCAGGAGACAUUCCUGCCGCUGGUAGAGAGCAGUAAACCAGGAUUUUUCCGCCAGGGGGAGAGACAGCAAGAUUGAUUUUCUGCCUCCCAGAGAAGCCGCCGCGGCACACGCUCGCGCACACACACGCACACGUGUUUUCUGGGAGUGGGAGAGACGGCAAGAGACAGAGAUCUCCUGCUCACAGCCACGGAGUGUUCUGGAGAGGGAGCGUGUGCAUGUGUUUUCCUAACAUGGUGUCUUUCUUGGCUGCGGCAGAGGAGACGUUUCCAAGAGGGAAUGAGAAGGGGGGGGGGAGGAACGAGACAGAGGGAGGACAUUUUCUGCCCACACACAGACACAAACACUCGUAAUUUUCUGUAAACUGAGAAAUCGUGUCUGUUUCUCAGGUGCUGCACACUUAGUGAGGGGACGGGAGACGUGUUUGCCUGGCAGGGGGUCCCGAUAAACACGCCCGUGAGCCUUAGUGUGUGUGAGAGAGAGACAGACAGAUAGAUGGAGAGACAGACAAAGAGACAGAGAGAGAGAGAGACAAACACAGAG